UUAAGCGACUAAGCGUACACGGUGGAUGCCCUGGCAGUCAGAGGCGAUGAAGGACGUGCUAAUCUGCGAUAAGCGUCGGUGAGGUGAUAUGAACCGUUAUAACCGGCGAUUUCCGAAUGGGGAAACCCAGUGUGUUUCGACACACUAUCAUUAACUGAAUCCAUAGGUUAAUGAGGCGAACCGGGGGAACUGAAACAUCUAAGUACCCCGAGGAAAAGAAAUCAACCGAGAUUCCCCCAGUAGCGGCGAGCGAACGGGGAGGAGCCCAGAGCCUGAAUCAGUGUGUGUGUUAGUGGAAGCGUCUGGAAAGGCGCGCGAUACAGGGUGACAGCCCCGUACACAAAAAUGCACAUAUUGUGAGCUCGAUGAGUAGGGCGGGACACGUGGUAUCCUGUCUGAAUAUGGGGGGACCAUCCUCCAAGGCUAAAUACUCCUGACUGACCGAUAGUGAACCAGUACCGUGAGGGAAAGGCGAAAAGAACCCCGGCGAGGGGAGUGAAAAAGAACCUGAAACCGUGUACGUACAAGCAGUGGGAGCCUCUUAAUGGGGUGACUGCGUACCUUUUGUAUAAUGGGUCAGCGACUUAUAUUCUGUAGCAAGGUUAACCGAAUAGGGGAGCCGGAGGGAAACCGAGUCUUAACUGGGCGUUAAGUUGCAGGGUAUAGACCCGAAACCCGGUGAUCUAGCCAUGGGCAGGUUGAAGGUUGGGUAACACUAACUGGAGGACCGAACCGACUAAUGUUGAAAAAUUAGCGGAUGACUUGUGGCUGGGGGUGAAAGGCCAAUCAAACCGGGAGAUAGCUGGUUCUCCCCGAAAGCUAUUUAGGUAGCGCCUCGUGAAUUCAUCUCCGGGGGUAGAGCACUGUUUCGGCAAGGGGGUCAUCCCGACUUACCAACCCGAUGCAAACUGCGAAUACCGGAGAAUGUUAUCACGGGAGACACACGGCGGGUGCUAACGUCCGUCGUGAAGAGGGAAACAACCCAGACCGCCAGCUAAGGUCCCAAAGUCAUGGUUAAGUGGGAAACGAUGUGGGAAGGCCCAGACAGCCAGGAUGUUGGCUUAGAAGCAGCCAUCAUUUAAAGAAAGCGUAAUAGCUCACUGGUCGAGUCGGCCUGCGCGGAAGAUGUAACGGGGCUAAACCAUGCACCGAAGCUGCGGCAGCGACGCUUAUGCGUUGUUGGGUAGGGGAGCGUUCUGUAAGCCUGCGAAGGUGUGCUGUGAGGCAUGCUGGAGGUAUCAGAAGUGCGAAUGCUGACAUAAGUAACGAUAAAGCGGGUGAAAAGCCCGCUCGCCGGAAGACCAAGGGUUCCUGUCCAACGUUAAUCGGGGCAGGGUGAGUCGACCCCUAAGGCGAGGCCGAAAGGCGUAGUCGAUGGGAAACAGGUUAAUAUUCCUGUACUUGGUGUUACUGCGAAGGGGGGACGGAGAAGGCUAUGUUGGCCGGGCGACGGUUGUCCCGGUUUAAGCGUGUAGGCUGGUUUUCCAGGCAAAUCCGGAAAAUCAAGGCUGAGGCGUGAUGACGAGGCACUACGGUGCUGAAGCAACAAAUGCCCUGCUUCCAGGAAAAGCCUCUAAGCAUCAGGUAACAUCAAAUCGUACCCCAAACCGACACAGGUGGUCAGGUAGAGAAUACCAAGGCGCUUGAGAGAACUCGGGUGAAGGAACUAGGCAAAAUGGUGCCGUAACUUCGGGAGAAGGCACGCUGAUAUGUAGGUGAAGCGACUUGCUCGUGGAGCUGAAAUCAGUCGAAGAUACCAGCUGGCUGCAACUGUUUAUUAAAAACACAGCACUGUGCAAACACGAAAGUGGACGUAUACGGUGUGACGCCUGCCCGGUGCCGGAAGGUUAAUUGAUGGGGUUAGCGGUAACGCGAAGCUCUUGAUCGAAGCCCCGGUAAACGGCGGCCGUAACUAUAACGGUCCUAAGGUAGCGAAAUUCCUUGUCGGGUAAGUUCCGACCUGCACGAAUGGCGUAAUGAUGGCCAGGCUGUCUCCACCCGAGACUCAGUGAAAUUGAACUCGCUGUGAAGAUGCAGUGUACCCGCGGCAAGACGGAAAGACCCCGUGAACCUUUACUAUAGCUUGACACUGAACAUUGAGCCUUGAUGUGUAGGAUAGGUGGGAGGCUUUGAAGUGUGGACGCCAGUCUGCAUGGAGCCGACCUUGAAAUACCACCCUUUAAUGUUUGAUGUUCUAACGUUGGCCCGUAAUCCGGGUUGCGGACAGUGUCUGGUGGGUAGUUUGACUGGGGCGGUCUCCUCCUAAAGAGUAACGGAGGAGCACGAAGGUUGGCUAAUCCUGGUCGGACAUCAGGAGGUUAGUGCAAUGGCAUAAGCCAGCUUGACUGCGAGCGUGACGGCGCGAGCAGGUGCGAAAGCAGGUCAUAGUGAUCCGGUGGUUCUGAAUGGAAGGGCCAUCGCUCAACGGAUAAAAGGUACUCCGGGGAUAACAGGCUGAUACCGCCCAAGAGUUCAUAUCGACGGCGGUGUUUGGCACCUCGAUGUCGGCUCAUCACAUCCUGGGGCUGAAGUAGGUCCCAAGGGUAUGGCUGUUCGCCAUUUAAAGUGGUACGCGAGCUGGGUUUAGAACGUCGUGAGACAGUUCGGUCCCUAUCUGCCGUGGGCGCUGGAGAACUGAGGGGGGCUGCUCCUAGUACGAGAGGACCGGAGUGGACGCAUCACUGGUGUUCGGGUUGUCAUGCCAAUGGCACUGCCCGGUAGCUAAAUGCGGAAGAGAUAAGUGCUGAAAGCAUCUAAGCACGAAACUUGCCCCGAGAUGAGUUCUCCCUGAGACUUUAAGUCUCCUGAAGGAACGUUGAAGACGACGACGUUGAUAGGCCGGGUGUGUAAGCGCAGCGAUGCGUUGAGCUAACCGGUACUAAUGAACCGUGAGGCUUAACCUU
RNAcentral lists this ribosomal RNA (2903 nucleotides) under Escherichia coli. RNAcentral's name for it is "bacterial LSU rRNA". It matches the Rfam family "Bacterial large subunit ribosomal RNA". Lineage: Bacteria; Pseudomonadati; Pseudomonadota; Gammaproteobacteria; Enterobacterales; Enterobacteriaceae. The record is from RNAcentral.